UUUCAUAGUAGAAUCAAUGUCUGGGGACUUGCUAAGAAACUCCGGGCUGAAGGAAUCCAGGCAGAGGAAUUAUGUGGCUUCCCAUGGAAAAGUCAAAAGCAUUCCUCCUGGCUUUCUUGGCUACUAGCUACUUCUUAUGUCAUUUCCUGCAGUCAUUAUCAAAAGAAGUCUGUGCAGAAGAAACGCAUAUGUUCCAUAAGAGUCAGCCCAUUGUGUGCUUCUAAUAAUGUUACAUAUCCCAAUUUCUGCGUGUACUGUUUCAUCAACAUAGCUUUGGAUUUCACUCUUCGAAUCCAAUUCAAUGGAAAAUGUCUGAAGUCUACUUCUUGAUUAUUCUUCAUUCAGCAUAAGUGAGACAUUUGAAUCAAGCAUCAUCUUUUCUUCAUAAGGCAAAAUUCAUUAUUAUUACCUUUAAAAAUCAAUAAAUUUGAUCUUGUGAAAAGCUC
Long non-coding RNA from Peromyscus leucopus (white-footed mouse), 446 nucleotides. RefSeq lists it as uncharacterized. Lineage: Eukaryota; Metazoa; Chordata; Mammalia; Rodentia; Cricetidae. The transcript has 3 exons. The record is from RefSeq and is a predicted model, not a curated record.